CGAAGAAAAGUUGUAGUGCCCGUUUCACAAACGUCCAACAUUACAAAACAAAUUGGAUCAUUGAGAUCUCGUAAAGAUAUUAAAAAGAUAUGCGUCAUUAAUACAAAAUCUUAAAAAGAUAUGCGUCAUUAAUACAACAUCUUAAAAAGAUAUGUGUCAUUAAUACAAUAUCUUAAAAAGAUAUGCGUAAUUAAUAAGCUUAGCCACUUGCCAUUUUUUUUAUGCAUAUGUACACGCCACUUGCCAUCUUAUAUUUAUAUGUAUAUGUACUUUUAUGCAAAUCUCUCUCUCUACUCCCUAAAUAUCUCCCACCCUUCCCUCUAUAUUAUUUCUUUUCCAAAAACCGUUCUCUCUAUCUCUGCAAUGAAGAAGACAAGGUUUUUCCUCUCAACCUUAAUUCAAGAAACCGAGAACCCAACUCGACAAGGGGAAACUACCGUUCAUUCGCUCAGAAUUUGCUCAAAAUCCGUUCAAGGGUACGUCCGCAAGUAAAGUCGGAACGAAUGAUUCAAGUUAAAGGAACUAAAUGAUCUAGGUUGAGCAGCGAAGUAGUGGAGGAAGUGCUAUUGAGACAAGAUACUUAAUUCAGUCA
Long non-coding RNA from Salvia splendens (bonfire salvia), 592 nucleotides. RefSeq lists it as uncharacterized. NCBI's taxonomy places the organism in Eukaryota, Viridiplantae, Streptophyta, Magnoliopsida, Lamiales, Lamiaceae. The record is from RefSeq and is a predicted model, not a curated record. The transcript has 3 exons.